RNAcentral lists this ribosomal RNA (470 nucleotides) under Daphnia obtusa group sp. 6 SA. RNAcentral's name for it is "partial small subunit ribosomal RNA". The stretch from base 110 to 470 matches the Rfam family "Microsporidia small subunit ribosomal RNA", at positions 752 to 1267 of the family's 1311-position model. The record is from RNAcentral. Lineage: Eukaryota; Metazoa; Arthropoda; Branchiopoda; Diplostraca; Daphniidae.
GUGAAAUUUUUAAUUAAGAUGAAAUUCUCUUUAAAAUCUUUUGGAACUAAAAAAUUUAGAUAAAAAACCAGGAUUAGAUACCCUGUUAUUCUAAGUAAUGAUGUAAGUAGGGUAGUAAAAGUUGUUCUUCAAACCCAAAGAUUUUGGCGGCACCUUAUCCUAAUAGAGGAGCUUGUCCUGUAAUUGAUAAUCCUCAUUUUAUCUUACCUUCUUUUGUUUAGCUUGUAUACCGCCGUUGUCAGAUUACUUUAGAAGAAUGUUUUCAAGAAAAAUAAUUUUUUAACUUCAGGUCAAGGUGCAGUUUAUGGGAAGGUAGUGAUGAGCUACAAUUUCUAUUAGAAAAUACGAAUCCUAGGCUUAAAAGUCGGUGGAAGGUGGAUUUAUUAGUAAAUUUAUUUAAGUAUAAUAAAUUGAAUGAGGCAAUGGGGUGUGCACAUAUCGCCCGUCACUCUCUUCUUAAGNGGAGAUAA